RNAcentral lists this ribosomal RNA (403 nucleotides) under Verrucomicrobiota bacterium. RNAcentral's name for it is "Verrucomicrobia bacterium partial 16S ribosomal RNA". It matches the Rfam family "Bacterial small subunit ribosomal RNA", at positions 355 to 776 of the family's 1533-position model. The record is from RNAcentral. Lineage: Bacteria; Pseudomonadati; Verrucomicrobiota.
UGGGGAAUAUUGCACAAUGGGGGAAACCCUGAUGCAGCGACGCCGCGUGAGCGAAGAAGGCCUUCGGGUCGUAAAGCUCUUUUAUAUGGGAAGAUAAUGACGGUACCAUAAGAAAAAGCCCCGGCUAACUACGUGCCAGCAGCCGCGGUAAUACGUAGGGGGCUAGCGUUGUCCGGAAUCACUGGGCGUAAAGGGUUCGCAGGCGGCAAUGCAAGUCAGAUGUAAAAGGCAAAGGCUCAACCUUUGUAAGCAUCUGAAACUGUAUAGCUUGAGAAGUGUAGAGGCAAGUGGAAUUUUUAGUGUAGCGGUGAAAUGCGUAGAUAUUAAAAAGAAUACCGGUGGCGAAGGCGACUUGCUGGGCACAAUCUGACGCUGAGGAACGAAAGCGUGGGUAGCAAACAGG